RNAcentral lists this ribosomal RNA (497 nucleotides) under uncultured bacterium. RNAcentral's name for it is "partial 16S ribosomal RNA". It matches the Rfam family "Bacterial small subunit ribosomal RNA", at positions 28 to 507 of the family's 1533-position model. The record is from RNAcentral.
GAUGAACGCUGGCGGCGUGCCUAAUACAUGCAAGUCGAGCGAACAGACGAGGAGCUUGCUCCUCUGACGUUAGCGGCGGACAGGGGAGUAACACGUGGAUAACCUACCUAUAAGACUGGGAUAACUUCGGGAAACCGGAGCUAAUACCGGAUAAUAUAUUGAACCGCAUGGUUCAAUAGUGAAAGACGGUUUUGCUGUCACUUAUAGAUGGAUCCGCGCCGCAUUAGCUAGUUGGUAAGGUAACGGCUUGCCAAGGCAACGAUUCGUAGCCGACCUGAGAGGGUGAUCGGCCACACUGGAACUGAGACACGGUCCAGACUCCUACGGGAGGCAGCAGUAGGGAAUCUUCCGCAAUGGGCGAAAGCCUGACGGAGCAACGCCGCGUGAGUGAUGAAGGUCUUCGGAUCGUAAAACUCUGUUAUUAGGGAAGAACAAAUGUGUAAGUAACUAUGCACGUCUUGACGGUACCUAAUCAGAAAGCCACGGCUAACUACGUG